Molecule: ribosomal RNA, 620 nt
Filed under: Proctoporus bolivianus
Lineage: Eukaryota; Metazoa; Chordata; Lepidosauria; Squamata; Gymnophthalmidae
Description: partial 12S ribosomal RNA
Source: RNAcentral
UUGAGGAGGGUGACGGGCGGUGUGUACAUGUCCCAGAGCUGAUGUUAAUUUAAAUAUUCUUGUUUAAAUUACUGCUAAAUCCGCCUUCAUUUUCUUUUUCAGGGGUAAAAUAUAAAUUCGUAUGUUUUAAUAUAAAUAAUGUAGCCCAUUGCCUCCACCGUAUAAGCUACACCUUGACCUGACUUGUUAGUAUGUUACUAUUUAGCCUACUUGAAUUCUUUUAAAAGGUAGGCUGUAAUGACGGCGGUAUAUAGGCUGAGAAUAUGCUAAAGGUGGUUAGGUGUAUCGGGGGUUGUCGAUUAUGGAACAGGCUCCUCUAGGAAGGUUGGGACACCGUCAAGUCUUUUGAGUUUUAGGCUUUCGCUCGUAAUCUUCUGGCGGAUUGUGUCUUAGUGGUGCUUAAGCAUAGUAGGGUAUCUAAUCCUAGUUUGUGUCUUAAGGGUCAUGGGUCAAAGUGUCUGUUGUGUUAAGGUUUGGUGUUCUAAUAAUUUGUGAAUUUGACUUCAUAAUUAUAGUUUUUAAUUAAUGAGUUAGAGUAUUAUAGCCAUGCUUUACGCCGUAAAUAUUACUUUUAGCUUAAAUUCGUAUAACCGCGUCGCUGCACGAAAUUUACCAGCAUU